AGAGUUUGAUCCUGGCUCAGAACGAACGCUGGCGGCGUGGAUAAGACAUGCAAGUCGAGCGCUGAUUUGGAGGUAGCAAUAUUUUCAAAUCGGAGCGGCGCAAGGGUGCGUAACACGUGGGAAUCUGCCUUGAAGUGUGGGAUAACUCCGAGAAAUCGGAGCUAAUACCGCAUGUGAUCGUGAGAUCAAAGUUGGGGAUCGCAAGACCUGACGCUUCAAGAUGAGCCCGCGGCCUAUCAGCUAGUUGGUGAGGUAAUGGCUCACCAAGGCUAAGACGGGUAGCUGGUCUGAGAGGACGACCAGCCACACUGGAACUGAGACACGGUCCAGACACCUACGGGUGGCAGCAGUCGAGAAUUUUUCUCAAUGGGCGAAAGCCUGAAGGAGCGACGCCGCGUGGGGGAUGAAUGGCUUCGGCCCGUAACACCCCUGUCAUUUGCGAACAAAUUAUUUUACCUAACACGUAACGUAUUGAUUGUAGCGGAAGAGGAAGG
RNAcentral lists this ribosomal RNA (494 nucleotides) under uncultured bacterium. Its description in RNAcentral is "bacterial SSU rRNA". It matches the Rfam family "Bacterial small subunit ribosomal RNA", at positions 8 to 491 of the family's 1533-position model. The record is from RNAcentral.